ACAUUGAUCAACAAAUUGAAAAUUUGUAUGCUCUUGUCAAGCCAGGUUUCAAUUAGACAACUUCUCAUCAUUAUGAUGUGGUUCCACAAUUACUAACCAACCCCACAUUGGCUUCACCAAACUUAUUUAGCACUAAAUUCAUACCCAGACCAUAACAGAUUCUUUAAAUAGAUAAACUUAUUGAAUGCUCACAAGAAUGCCUUAUUGUCUAUUUUUUUCAUUGAUGAGGAAACCAGUGCUCAGAGAGUUAGAGAAGCUGUCCAAAGUCUCAUAGAAAUUAUGUCAUCAGAAGUAAG
Molecule: long non-coding RNA, 296 nt
Filed under: Homo sapiens (human)
Lineage: Eukaryota; Metazoa; Chordata; Mammalia; Primates; Hominidae
Description: non-protein coding lnc-MDFIC-4:1
Source: RNAcentral